Molecule: long non-coding RNA, 565 nt
Organism: Helianthus annuus (common sunflower)
Lineage: Eukaryota; Viridiplantae; Streptophyta; Magnoliopsida; Asterales; Asteraceae
Exons: 3
Source: RefSeq, a predicted model, not a curated record
AAGGGGUUAUUAGGGUUUUAACCCAAAACACACCUUCUGGUGCGUACCUGGGAUCGAUCGAACAAGGGGAGCAAGGUGAAAAACCCUUGUUCUUGCUAACUCCCUCAAUUGACCAAGGAAUUCAAGUCUAAUCUGUUGCAUGUCUCAAGUUCUUCGAUUAUCUAUACAUACAUAGUGAUAUGGCACGAAGAAGGAAGAAGACGCAAGUCACUCGAAGGCAUAAGUAUCUCAAGAUCGCGGUAAAACUUCACUCUAGGCGAUUUGGAGAUUUGGAGCGAGCACGGGCCCAUGCUAUGAUAUACCAAAUGCUUCCGCUAGUUUUGUUCGUCUUUAUGGUCCAUGACUUGUUAUUUUGUCCAACUUUGUUAGUAGUCGUAUUUUGCAAAAACUUGUUGUCUUUAUCUUGGGUAGUUUAAUGUCAAAAAGGGUCAUAGAUUGUUGUUAGUUUUAUGUGUUAAAAACAGGGAGGCACGUCCGUUUUACGAACGGGUCAUGCCCAAUUUUCCUAAGAAUUUUAUUAUGUAUCAAAGUUUGGUAAUUUGAUGUCUAUAAAUUACUUUUGUAA